Non-coding RNA from Myotis brandtii (Brandt's bat), 72 nucleotides. NCBI's taxonomy places the organism in Eukaryota, Metazoa, Chordata, Mammalia, Chiroptera, Vespertilionidae. The record is from Rfam.
GCCCGGGUAGCUCAGCUGGUUAGAGCAUUGUCCUGAUACGCCAAGGUUGUGGUUUCGAUCCCGGUCAGGGCA